AACGAACGCUGGCGGCAUGCCUAACACAUGCAAGUCGAACGAGACCUUCGGGUCUAGUUGCGCACGGGUGCGUAACGCGUGGGAACCUGCCCUUAGGUUCGGAAUAACUCCCCGACGGGGGUGCUAAUACCGGAUAAUGUCUUCGGACCAAAGAUUUAUCGCCUUUGGAUGGGCCCGCGUUGGAUUAGCUAGUUGGUAGGGUAAAAGCCUACCAAGGCGAGGAUCCAUAGCUGGUCUGAGAGGAUGAGCAGCCACACUGGGAGUGAGACACGGCCGAGAAUCCUACGGGAGGGAGGAGUGGGGAAUAUUGGACAAUGGGCGAAAGCCUGAUCCAGCAAUGCCGCGUGAGUGAUGAAGGCCUUAGGGUUGUAAAGCUCUUUUACCCGGGAUGAUAAUGACAGUACCGGGAGAAUAAGCACCGGCUAACUCCGUG
RNAcentral lists this ribosomal RNA (433 nucleotides) under uncultured bacterium. RNAcentral's name for it is "partial 16S ribosomal RNA". It matches the Rfam family "Bacterial small subunit ribosomal RNA", at positions 29 to 507 of the family's 1533-position model. The record is from RNAcentral.